This 814-nucleotide non-coding RNA is filed under the name Selaginella moellendorffii. Its description in RNAcentral is "Eukaryotic small subunit ribosomal RNA". The stretch from base 105 to 814 matches the Rfam family "Eukaryotic small subunit ribosomal RNA", at positions 1 to 1116 of the family's 1831-position model. The record is from Rfam by way of RNAcentral. Lineage: Eukaryota; Viridiplantae; Streptophyta; Lycopodiopsida; Selaginellales; Selaginellaceae.
UUGGUGGAUCUGCUGGGGAGAUCUGGGAAGCUGGACAAGGCCAGUGUCGAGCCAAAUUUCAGCGCUGGAGAAUGAAAGAGUGGGGAAAAGUCCGAUGCUAGUUCGACCUGUCCUCUGGGCUGGAGAUCAUGACUCACAGCCAUUCGAAGGUUGUGGAUUCGAACCUGUGACUUUGCCAAACGCACAAAUUAUCCAAUUCUGACAUUGGGAGGUACUGACAAUAAAUAAUAAUACUGGGCUUUCAAAAUUUGGUAAUUGGAAUGAGUACAAUAUAAAUCUCUUAAGGAAGAUUCAUUAGAGGGCAAGUCUAGUGCCAAUAGCUAUAGUAAUUCUAAUUCUAAUAACAUGUUAUUAUAGUUAAAAAGCUCAUUUGGAUCUCAGGACAAGAUGAAUGGUUUCCCUAUAUGCACUAGUCACCCCAUUCUAUGAGUCAAUGAUGCUAAUUUGAUCUUUACUGGCUAAUGUGGAGUCGACAAUGUUAUUUUGAAAAAAUUAAAGUACCCAAAACAGACUCAUACUCUAAAUACAUUAGUAUGGAGUAAUGUAAUAGGACUCUGAUCCUGUUGUGUUGGUCUCCAAGAUAUGAGUAAUGAUUAGUAGGGACAAUUGGGGGCAUUUGUACUCUAUUGUUAGAGAUGAAAUUCUUAAGCAUUUGCUGAGGAUGCUUUUAUUAAUCAAGAAUGAAAGUUAGGAGCUCAAAUACGAUUAAAUACCAUUUUAGUCUUAACCAUAGAUGAUGAUGAUUAGGGAUUGGCAGAUGUUAUUUGGAUAACAACGCCAUCACCUCAUGAAAAAUCAAAGUCUUUGAGUUCCA